RNAcentral lists this long non-coding RNA (1499 nucleotides) under Salmo salar (Atlantic salmon). RNAcentral's name for it is "lncRNA (ENSSSAG00000102934.1)". Lineage: Eukaryota; Metazoa; Chordata; Actinopteri; Salmoniformes; Salmonidae. The record is from RNAcentral.
GUCACUUCAUCCCACUGGUGUGGUAUUUUUGCUGAAUAACCCUCAUGAAACUGCACCUUGGGCGCCUAUAAUUUGUUUUAAAUGAAUGCUGUUGACAGAAAGUUCUGUGGUUUUUGGCCAUUUGGUUUUCGGGCACAAUGAGGCACAUGGCAGGGUGAAUAAUCAUGAUGAAUCCCGGGCUGACGUUAAGGUCUGCCACUCUGAAUAAGACGAGGUUGUGUAGAUCCCACAGGACUCAUGGAGCUGUCAUCUCCAUCAUCUAUCAGACACUUUCUACUUUCACAGAGUUUGAAGUCUCUCAGCUCUGCUGCUUCGAAUAUAUCUCACAAGAGAAUAUCAGGCACCAAACUCGCUCACAAGGAGUCAGAGGAGCAGACCUCUGUCAAAGACACAGACGUAACAGGGUUUGUACUGUAGAUGCAGGUGGGAGGACCUGUUGUUGACUGGCUAAAGAUGGGGAGCCUGGGACAGGAGCAGGGGGAGCCUGGGACAGGAGCAGGGGGAGCCUGGGACAGGAGAUGGGGAGCCUGGGACAGGAGCAGGUUGAGCCUGGGACAGGAGAGGAAGAACCUGGGACAUGAGAGGAGCAUCUGAGGACACUGGGUGAGGAACUUUAGAUUGGAACAUAUUAGUUAACUGCAAGACGGACUAGGAGGCCUGUCGACCCAUUAGCGAGAGAGAGAGAGAGAGAAAUAGAGAGAGUAAUAGAGAGAGAGAGAUUUGAAAAGAGCAAGGAAUCCAACUGUGACAUUAACCAUGCAAGAUACCAACAGCCCUGUAAAUACUAGGUAUUCAAAAUAUGGACAGAUUUUCUCUCAAAAUAUGGACAGAUUUUCUCUCAAAAUAUGGACAGAUUUUCUCUCAAAAUAUGGACAGAGUUUCUCUCAAAAUAUGGACAGAUUUUGUCUCAAUCUCCCAUUCCGUUGUGAAUCCCAGUGUUACCUAAACAGAACACUGCAUCAUUACUUCAUACAGAAUUAUACUCCAAACAGCAUCCCUUCCAUGACACCACCCCCGUCUUUUCCACUAAACCUCUAAAUCCUUAAAAAAAACAAAGCUCUUAGCAGCACACGCCUUACCUGAGCCUGUCUCAAACAUCACAUUCCUAGAGUGAAUCUCAGCUUUGCACCUGCCACAAGACACCCUAAUUUAUGGUAGAGUCUCCAUCCAAACUUUAAAGCAAUUUGGUCUUCAAGGAUGUGUAAAAUAUUCAUGGACGGGUCUAUUGCAUAUUUCACGCAGGCCGUGGUGGUAAAGUAGGACACACCUACAGCGAGCGUGGGGAUGGGGAUGUGGUGUCUCUCUCUCUCUCUGCCCGUCCAUGCCCACUUCAUCAGCUUCAUGCAGAGGUAAUAGGUACAUGCUAGAGGUGACAACACAGGGCACUUAAGGAGGUUGAACACGACUUUGACACUCUCUCACAUGUCAGAGCUUCUCAGAGCAGGAGGAACAUGGUGAGAUGAAUGCGUGGCGGGGACUCAUACAACCCCGGAAUCAGG